AGAAAUGACAUCAGUUAAUACAUAUAACCAAUAUUUUCUUAAACUUUCACCUGAAAGUAUUAAUUAACAAAUUGACAGAGUAGAAAAGACAAAAUACAAGCAAAACGCAGUCAACAGCUGCAAAAGCACAUGAGUCAGUUCUUUUUUUACCAACCAUUGAUGCUUCUGGGUGAGAGGAACUCUGAUGCCACUAAAAAUCUCACAGACCUUCCUGAGUGGUGACACAUAGUUUGCAAAGACUCCUUUCAUGUCACUUAUUAAUAUGAAUCUCUCAAAAUUUAAUAAUGUUCCAACACCUGUUCAAAUCUUCAUAUUAGUGUGAAACCAUGUGCAUAGGGAACAGUGUAUAGCUGCCUACUGUAAAGAAAAAUGCAUUUUCUUGUCCAACAAAAUGACAGAUUCACUCCCAAACUUUCAGUGUUUGUUGUACUGUGCUCUCAGAAUAUGUCACAACCAUAUCAUACUAGAAGUCUGUACAAAGCAGUCUCAAGUUUGUGACGUGUGACAAAACCUUGUAAAAGGUCAGUGUUUUGUCAUUGAAAAGAAAACAAGCAUCAUUAAAUCUGAUAUUUUCUUGUCAGUGCAGACAGUAAGUGUCCAUAAUCAAACCAAAACAAUGGGAAAGUCUAUAAAGUUAAUCAAUGUUUUUAUCACAGUUUGCAAUUUGAGGAUAUUUGUUUGAAUUUUAUGUAGUACCAGCAACUAUUGCAAUUGGAAAAAGCAAGGUCUGUCAAGUGGUUGUGUGAGGCAUCUUGUGUGUUGGUAAAGUGUCUAGGUACUUGCCACCUCUUUCUGGCAAGCCUUACCAUUGGCUAGUAUCACUGUUUCUACAGCAUUUGUGAAGAGACAGAAACCUGCAUAAUUCUCUCCUGCAGUAUUAUUAACCUCUCCACAAGUCUUUGUACUGUCUCCAAGUGGUGACAAGUGAAAACUCUGCCCCCAGGCCAAACUGCAAGGGCUCAGAAGAAUUUGGCCUCCAGAUGUGUGACAUGCAUGGACAACCCUUUUUGUAAACAUGUCCUGGUACCCUACAAACCAAAUCCCCAGCUGUGGAAAAACAGCACCUGGGAGAAGCAAAGUAUGUCAGUCAUCAGUCAGUCAUUUGUCUGGUACUUGUCACUGGGGGGAACACGGAGAGAUAAGGCAACUGAUAGGGCCCACACUCUCACCUAUUUUAGGCCAUUGUGAUAUGGUCCUGCACAGGAUGAACAAAUAGUAACUCCUUACGUGUUUAACAAUACGCUGUCAUAGUUGGAGCACUUGUUUGGAACAGAAUAUGAAUAGGUAGUGAUAUGCAUACUGUAAAUCAGGGAUGCCCAACCUACGGCCCGCGGGCCAUAUCCGGCCCGCGAAACUUCUGCCCACAGUACAGGAAAUCGGCAUGUUAGUAAUAAAAAAAAAAAAUCUAAAAAAAAAAACAAAAAAAACAAAAACAAAACAAAAAAUAAACUGAAAAAAAAGGAAGAGGUAUUUAUCCCUACGUAGUGGCGCCUCUCAAUCUGUUUUUCGAUAGACGAACAUUUCGAUUCAGUGCUCCGACUUGCCAAAUGCUCUACGAUGCAGCCAGACAUUCUGAAGUUGGUUUCGGGAAAACAACUUCAAAUAUCCCACUAAUUAGUACAUAAUUAAUGAUGAACACUGAUUUGUCAGACCAAGUCUGUGAGAAACUGAUUGCUGACAACUGCAUGCCUUCAGAGGUGAAUGAAGCUUGCAGUACUGUUGACUUUCCUUGAAAGAUGCCUUGAACUUCCUAUGAUGUGCUUCAAGAACAUCAGCAAGGAAAAAGUAUGUGCAAAAUUUCCUGUGGCAAUGGCAGACCAAGACAACCUAGAUCAAUUGAUGAGAUGAGCACUUCGGUUGCUUCACCUUGACUGUGUUUUGAAGCUUUUACUAUCAUGAUUAGCACUACCUUUGAUAAAAAUACAAUACAUAGAAAAAGGGUAUCAAACACUUAAAUGUGGACGAUUAAAGGACAAUACGAAUAAAAAGAAGCAGUUUUGCAAAAAAGCUGAAUGCUUCUCUCUAUCUUUUCCUCUUAGUGCAUCAGGUUGCACAUAAGGCCUCAACC
RNAcentral lists this long non-coding RNA (2068 nucleotides) under Pomacea canaliculata. Its description in RNAcentral is "uncharacterized LOC112554853". Lineage: Eukaryota; Metazoa; Mollusca; Gastropoda; Architaenioglossa; Ampullariidae. The record is from RNAcentral.